UGCCUAACACAUGCAAGUCGAACGAGACCUUCGGGUCUAGUGGCGCACGGGUGCGUAACGCGUGGGAAUCUGCCCUUGGGUUCGGAAUAACUCGCCGAAAGGCGUGCUAAUACCGGAUGAUGUCGUAAGACCAAAGAUUUAUCGCCCAGGGAUGAGCCCGCGUAAGAUUAGCUAGUUGGUGAGGUAAAGGCUCACCAAGGCGACGAUCUUUAGCUGGUCUGAGAGGAUGAUCAGCCACACUGGGACUGAGACACGGCCCAGACUCCUACGGGAGGCAGCAGUGGGGAAUAUUGGGCGAUGGGCGAAAGCCUGAUCCAGCAAUGCCGCGUGAGGAUAAAGGCCUUAGGGUUGUAAAGCUC
This 359-nucleotide ribosomal RNA is filed under the name uncultured organism. RNAcentral's name for it is "bacterial SSU rRNA". It matches the Rfam family "Bacterial small subunit ribosomal RNA", at positions 45 to 433 of the family's 1533-position model. The record is from RNAcentral.